Molecule: ribosomal RNA, 468 nt
Filed under: uncultured bacterium
Lineage: Bacteria
Description: partial 16S ribosomal RNA
Rfam family: Bacterial small subunit ribosomal RNA
Source: RNAcentral
GACGAACGCUGGCGGCGUGCUUAACACAUGCAAGUCGAACGGAAAGGCCCUGCUUUUGUUGGGUGCUCGAGUGUCGAACGGGUGAGUAACACGUGAGUAACCUGCCCUUGACUUUGGGAUAACUUCAGUAAACUGGGGCUAAUACCGGAUAGGAGCUCCUGCUGCCUGGUGGGGGUUGGAAAGUUUCGGCGGUUGGGGAUGGACUCGCGGCUUAUCAGCUUGUUGGUGGGGUAUUGGCUUACCAAGGCUUUGACGGGUAGCCGGCCUGAGAGGGUGACCGGCCACAUUGGGACUGAGAUACGGCCCAGACUCCUACGGGAGGCAGCAGUGGGGAAUAUUGCACAAUGGGCGGAAGCCUGAUGCAGCAACGCCGCGUGCGGGAUGACGGCCUUCGGGUUGUAAACCGCUUUCGCCUGUGACGAAGCGUGAGUGACGGUAAUGGGUAAAGAAGCACCGGCUAACUACGUG